ACGACCUUACUUGAACAGGAUCUGUUCUACAGGCUCGUACCGUUGCAUCCUUUACCAAUAAGGAGGCAAGCUCUCAAGUCUGGUUGAUGCCGACAUAACCUCCGGGCCAGAGCGUGAUUUUAACGGCUAGGAUGCAUGUUUGAGCCAUCCGACGGCUGCAGAGGAUCGUUCCUGCCUGGUUCACUCCGGUGCAGGGUGGCCCAGAGGUUGUCUGACAGAUA
Molecule: small nucleolar RNA, 221 nt
Filed under: Oryza sativa Japonica Group (Japanese rice)
Lineage: Eukaryota; Viridiplantae; Streptophyta; Magnoliopsida; Poales; Poaceae
Description: snoRNA Plant_U3
Rfam family: Plant small nucleolar RNA U3
About the family: Small nucleolar RNAs (snoRNAs) are involved in the processing and modification of rRNA in the nucleolus.
Source: Rfam by way of RNAcentral